This 75-nucleotide non-coding RNA is filed under the name Janthinobacterium sp. AD80. RNAcentral describes it as "crcB". It matches the Rfam family "Fluoride riboswitch aptamer (crcB RNA motif)". Lineage: Bacteria; Pseudomonadati; Pseudomonadota; Betaproteobacteria; Burkholderiales; Oxalobacteraceae. The record is from RNAcentral.
AUUUCCAGCGGAGAUGGCAUUCCUCCCACGUAUUUCUUCGUGAACCGCCUUCGGGCUGAUGAUGCCUGCAGACUU